UCCUACGGGGCGCAGCAGUGGGGAAUAUUGCACAAUGGGGGGAACCCUGAUGCAGCGACGCCGCGUGGAGGAAGAAGGUCUUCGGAUUGUAAACUCCUGUCCUUGGGGACGAUAAUGACGGUACCCAAGCAGGAAGCACCGGCUAACUACGUGCCAGCAGCCGCGGUAAAACGUAGGGUGCGAGCGUUGUCCGGAAUUACUGGGUGUAAAGGGAGCGCAGGCGGCUUGACAAGCUGGGAGUGAAAACUCCGGGCCCAACCC
RNAcentral lists this ribosomal RNA (261 nucleotides) under uncultured bacterium. RNAcentral describes it as "partial 16S ribosomal RNA". It matches the Rfam family "Bacterial small subunit ribosomal RNA", at positions 337 to 615 of the family's 1533-position model. The record is from RNAcentral.